Molecule: transfer RNA, 75 nt
Filed under: Candidatus Dactylopiibacterium carminicum
Lineage: Bacteria; Pseudomonadati; Pseudomonadota; Betaproteobacteria; Rhodocyclales; Rhodocyclaceae
Description: tRNA-Thr
Rfam family: tRNA
About the family: Transfer RNA (tRNA) molecules are approximately 80 nucleotides in length.
Source: RNAcentral
GCCCUUGUAGCUCAGUGGUAGAGCACUCCCUUGGUAAGGGAGAAGUCACGUGUUCAAUCCACGUCAAGGGCACCA